RNAcentral lists this transfer RNA (64 nucleotides) under Perna canaliculus (greenshell mussel). Its description in RNAcentral is "tRNA-Asn". Lineage: Eukaryota; Metazoa; Mollusca; Bivalvia; Mytilida; Mytilidae. The record is from RNAcentral.
GGCUUUAUAGUUUAAUAUAAAAACUUUAAAUUGUUAAUUUAGAAUUGUCUGAAGACUGAAGCUU